RNAcentral lists this non-coding RNA (78 nucleotides) under unclassified sequences. Its description in RNAcentral is "NiCo sequence". It matches the Rfam family "NiCo (Nickel/Cobalt) riboswitch aptamer". The record is from RNAcentral.
AUGCAGGAAACUGAUCAGGCCGGAGCUUCGGCUCGGAGCCGGGUUACGAAAGUAACAGUGGAAAGCCACGGGACAGCC